This 460-nucleotide ribosomal RNA is filed under the name uncultured bacterium. Its description in RNAcentral is "partial 16S ribosomal RNA". It matches the Rfam family "Bacterial small subunit ribosomal RNA", at positions 338 to 795 of the family's 1533-position model. The record is from RNAcentral.
CCUACGGGUGGCUGCAGUGAGGAAUAUUGGUCAAUGGGCUCGAGCCUGAACCAGCCAAGUAGCGUGAAGGAUGACUGCCCUACGGGUUGUAAACUUCUUUUAUAAAGGAAUAAAGUGAGGCACGUGUACCUUUUUGUAUGUACUUUAUGAAUAAGGAUCGGCUAACUCCGGUCCAUCAGCCGCGGUAAUACGGAGGAUCCGAGCGUUAUCCGGGUUUAUUGGGGUUAAAGGGAGCGUAGAUGGGUUGUUAAGUCAGGUGUGAAAGUUUGCGGCUUAAACGUAAAAUUGCAAUUGAUACUGGCAGUCUUGAGUACAGUAGAGGUAGGCGGAAUUCGUGGUGUAGCGGUGAAAUGCUUAGAUAUCACGAAGAACUCCGAUUGCGAAGGCAGCUUACUAAACUGCCACUGACAUUGAUGCUCGAAAGUGUGGGUAUCAAACAGGAUUAGAUACCCGUGUAGUC